GCCGUUUUAGCUCAGUUGGUAGAGCAUUUCCAUGGUAAGGAAAAGGUCUCGGGUUCAAAUCCCGAAAACGGCU
RNAcentral lists this transfer RNA (73 nucleotides) under Patescibacteria group bacterium. RNAcentral describes it as "tRNA-Thr". It matches the Rfam family "tRNA". From Rfam's summary of the family: Transfer RNA (tRNA) molecules are approximately 80 nucleotides in length. The record is from RNAcentral.